CCGAGGACGAGCGUGGUCACUCGAGGCAGGGGGGCUACGACCCUUCCACAUACCAGUUUUAGCUAGCUAGCAAGGUUGGUGGUUUCCCAAAGGGCUUUCCCGGCAUUUCUGACAGACGAUCCCCAGCGUAGGUUCACCUUCGGGUGCACUGUUGUAACACUAUUUUAUUUGGACUGCUUUAGGCUUUCUGCUCUGAACUUGUGUCGUUUCACGCUAGCACUUGUUAUUACUUCGACCUUUUGUAUGCUAGUUUUUAUUUAUUCAUACUUUUAUAUUACUACUUUA
Molecule: long non-coding RNA, 285 nt
Organism: Pyrus x bretschneideri (Chinese white pear)
Lineage: Eukaryota; Viridiplantae; Streptophyta; Magnoliopsida; Rosales; Rosaceae
Exons: 2
Source: RefSeq, a predicted model, not a curated record